This 460-nucleotide ribosomal RNA is filed under the name uncultured bacterium. Its description in RNAcentral is "partial 16S ribosomal RNA". It matches the Rfam family "Bacterial small subunit ribosomal RNA", at positions 338 to 795 of the family's 1533-position model. The record is from RNAcentral.
CCUACGGGAGGCAGCAGUGAGGAAUAUUGGUCAAUGGACGAGAGUCUGAACCAGCCAAGUAGCGUGAAGGAUGACUGCCCUAUGGGUUGUAAACUUCUUUUAUAUGGGAAUAAAAUGUUCCACGUGUGGGAUUUUGUAUGUACCAUAUGAAUAAGGAUCGGCUAACUCCGUGCCAGCAGCCGCGGUAAUACGGAGGAUCCGAGCGUUAUCCGGAUUUAUUGGGUUUAAAGGGAGCGUAGGUGGAUUGUUAAGUCAGUUGUGAAAUUUUGCGGCUCAACCGUAAAAUUGCAGUUGAAACUGGCAGUCUUGAGUACAGUAGAGGUGGGCGGAAUUCGUGGUGUAGCGGUGAAAUGCUUAGAUAUCACGAAGAACUCCGAUUGUGAAGGCAGCUCACUGGACUGCAACUGACACUGAGGCUCGAAAGUGUGGGUAUCAAACAGGAUUAGAUACCCCAGUAGUC